GUCUUCCUGUGCUGUUGUCUGGUUAAAUGAAAAAUCAAGAGCUACCGAAAGUGUAGCAUACACAGUUGCACACAGUGCAUAAAGCUUGGUAGUAAUGAGAUGGUGUCCCUGGCUUAUAUAUUUAUUGUACUUUUAUGAUUGUUUUAGAGUGUGUUCUUUGUACUUAUAAAAUCUUGUGCCAUGUAUUGAUAGCUCACUCCUGUAAUCCCAACACUACAUAUGUAGAGGCAGGAGCAAUUCAAGUUAAUCCUUAACUACAUAGUAAGUUUUGAAGCUAGUCUUAGUAUGGCCUCCCUAUCUCAAUCUCUACUCUGCAUAAAGUAAUAAAACCUCAAAAGAAAAAAAAAAAAGAAGAAGAAAUGUUAAAUGUUUCCAAGGCUUUCUUCUUUUCUUUUCUUUUCUUUUUUCUUUUCUUUUUUUCCCAUGGAAUCCAUUGUAUAAAAUAUGCACUUGAAGGUUGUUUUGUUUAUUGAUUUUGUUUUUUUUUUUUUUUUUUUUUUGAGACAGAGUCUCACUAUGUAGCCUUUGCUAGCCUGAACUUGACCUGUACACCAGGCUGGCCUUACAGAAAUCAACCUACUUCUGCUUCCCAAGUUCUGGGACUAAACUACCACACCAGAACAAGCACUUGAAGAGUCCUCCUGGUCUCAGGAAGUGAUCCCCUCAGGCUGCUUCACUGCUUCUUGUCUUAUCGCUGUGUUUGAAUCUGGUAGCAUGUCAGCUGGAGCUGGGCAUGAAAGGAAAAGAAGGCACUUUCCAAUUUGCAGCUCCCAGAACCUGCCUUAGUGCCUUCUGUCUUUAGCUGUGUUUUUUUAAAAUAUCUUAUAUUUUAUGUCAGUAUCUCUUACUGUUCCUUUUGAUUUAAUGUUUAGUUUUCAAAAUUUAUAGGAAAAGUGCCUCUACAGUAAAUUCACUUUAUAAUUAGAAACUAGUGGGUCACAUCACACGCUGAUGUUCUCCUUCCCACCUACUCGUUCCUUUUUACUGUGUGUCUGUCUCCUUUUCUGUGCUGAACAAAGCCAUGUGUAAGGCUUUGCUACAGUUACAAACUUAUAUCCAGACCCUAAACUAGCAGCACUUAUAUGUCACUAGUAUUUUAUCUCUAAGUUGCAUGUGCAGUAGACGCCAUGAAGGCCCAUCCACAUCUCAAGUAAGUCUGGAAAUAGAAUGCACCAAUGACAGCGUCAUCACUGAGCAGAUUGUUUCCUUUUUAAAUAAAAUUCUCUCUCUGGAACUUGAUAGGCAAGGACUGAAAUCAUGGGAAGGUACCUCUGGGCACUCAGUGGUGAAAAGUUGUCUGUUGAGCAGGAAGCACAUGGAGGUAGGAAGCCUGAGCUCUGACCUAGAGUUCUCACUCUUCCAUUUAUAAACUCUGUGAGGUUCUUCACCUUGGACCAGUCAUUGGGAUAUCAAAUGUCUGUGGUUUCUAUAGUUUUGGAUUCUAUAUGCACAGAUUUAACCAUCAGUGAUAGAGAUCUAUCAACUUUUCUUUCUUAUCAUUAUUUCCCAAAUAAUAAAAUCUAACAAAUAUUUGCUUAACAUUUACUUUGUAUUAUAUAUUGUAAGUAAUUUACAAAGAAUUGAUGUGUACAGGAGUGCCAUAUAUAAAUACUUCUUCCUCCCUCAGUGCUAGAGAUUGAACUCAGGAUCUUGGUCAAGGUAGGCAAGCAUUCUACCAUAUUCCUCAUUUUCCUGCUGUACCAUUUUAUAUUAGGGAUUUAGCAUCCAUGAAUUUUAUAUUCAAUAGAGGUCCUGGGACCAAUUUUCUAUGGAUACUAAGAUGUCAUUCAGGCUCCUCCUCCCUGAAAUAUCUCAUGAUCAGCCUGUGAUCACAACCAUAGAUCCUAGGAGAGGAUGCCAGAACAGCCAGGAGCAAAAGAAACCUCAGGCAAGCACCAUGAGAACUGACUCCCUGGCAGCUUCAGUGAGACAGCUCAUUUUAGUGUGGGGAGCAAAGGGUAUUUAAACCUUUGAGGGGUGAGUAGGGACCACCAGGCUUAGUGGACAUCAUUGUCAGGGGCCAGGGUGCUGGGGAGGCCUCAUUAACAUUAGUAGGAAUUUCAGGUGCUGCUAGGCAUGACCUUAUAAGGCAACAGGAAAUUAAAGCUAUGUGACCACCCCCACAUAUCUUUGUGAAAACAUUUCCAUUCCAUCUGUCAAAUCAUGGCUAAGAAGUUCCAGGGUUUCCUGCAUUCCAAGAAUGUUGAUAUAUUGUCUUGACCAUUUUGAAGUUGUUAGUGGGUUUGUUUUUUUGUUUUGUUUCCUUUUGUUUAACCCACAGAAGUUUUAUGUCAUUUAGCCUGGUCUAAAAGCUUGGGAUCAGAACUGUUUCUGACUUGUUUUCUGUUUCCUGGUGGUGGUGGUGAUGGUUUUGUCUGUCUUGGUUUGAUUUGGUUUGGAUUAUGUUGACUUAUCAGUUAAACCACCACGAUAGGAAAUUUGAAGUGCUCUGAAACCUUAGGCUAUUGCAAGACUUUUAGCACUUCCUUCUAGGUCCUGAACUUUAAGAAUAGGAAUGCAUACCUAGUUAUUGCAGCUUCAUUUAAAAGCUUUUGAAACCUAAAAACAAUUUUUAUUGUAUUUGGCAGGUUUUUUUU
RNAcentral lists this long non-coding RNA (2597 nucleotides) under Mus musculus (house mouse). Its description in RNAcentral is "long non-coding RNA chr2:37511469-37514066". Lineage: Eukaryota; Metazoa; Chordata; Mammalia; Rodentia; Muridae. The record is from RNAcentral.